RNAcentral lists this ribosomal RNA (466 nucleotides) under uncultured bacterium. Its description in RNAcentral is "bacterial SSU rRNA". It matches the Rfam family "Bacterial small subunit ribosomal RNA", at positions 28 to 498 of the family's 1533-position model. The record is from RNAcentral.
GACGAACGCUGGCGGCGUGCUUAACACAUGCAAGUCGAGCGGUAAGGCCCUUUCGGGGGUACACGAGCGGCGAACGGGUGAGUAACACGUGGGUGACCUGCCCUCAGCUCUGGGAUAAGCCUGGGAAACCGGGUCUAAUACCGGAUAUGACUCCAUGACGCAUGUUGUGGGGUGGAAAGCCUUGUGCGGCUGAGGAUGGGCCCGCGGCCUAUCAGCUUGUUGGUGGGGUGAUGGCCUACCAAGGCGACGACGGGUAGCCGGCCUGAGAGGGCGACCGGCCACACUGGGACUGAGACACGGCCCAGACUCCUACGGGAGGCAGCAGUGGGGAAUCUUGCGCAAUGGGCGAAAGCCUGACGCAGCGACGCCGCGUGAGGGAUGAAGGUCUUCGGAUUGUAAACCCCUUUCGGGAGGGAAGAUGGGACGGGCAACCGUUCGGACGGUACCUCCAGAAGCAGCCACGGCU